Columba livia (rock pigeon) is the source of this 3265-nucleotide long non-coding RNA. RefSeq lists it as uncharacterized. The transcript has 2 exons. Lineage: Eukaryota; Metazoa; Chordata; Aves; Columbiformes; Columbidae. The record is from RefSeq and is a predicted model, not a curated record.
AUGUUGUGUCAUUCUGAUGUUUUUUUCAUAAUUCUUGGUGUUGAAUACCAGAGCUUUGUGUGCUUAGUUAAUUAUAAAACCUUUUAUAAAACCUUUUAUUGGAAUAAAACUUCUACGGUGAAAGUAAAGCAAGUUACAUGCUCUGGUGCGUGCUAUAACUAUCUGAACAUCAGUUUGUAGUUUAGAAAGCAAUAGAGAUCUAGGUACUCAUAUUCUUGGAAUGAUUGUUUCAACAGUGGUAAGAGGUAAUGGCAAAUGACUUUUUUACAGAAAAUGUCCAAGGCUUUCUCAAGCUGUUACUUUAUAAAUUUAAAAUCACAGUAAGAUUUGCUUUCAGACUUCAUUUAAUUUUCAUAAAAGCUUUGGUGUUCUUGCAUGGUGAUUGUAAAGGUGAUACCUUUCAUUCAAAGGGAAGGCUUGGUUGAUAUAUAUAUAUAUACACUUCUUGGGCUUUUUGUAGUGGGGCCUCACAUCAGCAGGGUAACAGUAAAGGCUCUGUAACAUACACACAGAAAGAAAACAGCUGCAGAAUUAUAGAGCAUUUUGAGGAAAACUUUCAAGUGGAAUCUUCAUUUGGGCUUAAUGGAAAUGCAUAAGGGACACAGAGUUCCAAACUUAAUUACUUGAGGAAAUUUUGAUCAGAAGUGUAAAAAAAAAAAAACAAAAAAAAAAAAACAAAAACAAAAAAAAAACAAAAAAACAAAAAAAAAAACACAAAAAAACAAAACAAAACAAAAAAAAAAAAAAACAAAAAAACAAACAAAAAAAAAAACAAAAAAAACAAAUCUCUGCUCUUUUGAAGAAAUCUGGGUGUGUUUGUCUUGGGAUAACCUAGUAGUUAGGGCAUCUUUGAGUCUGUGUCUACAGUUGUAACACCAUUUUUAGUGAUUUAGAUCUACACAUACAGUUUUGGCACGUAGCUCAUCUUGUAUAAUGUGCUUUUUUUUUCAUUUUGGAAUGUAUACUUGAUCUGUUUGUCUCACUCAUGGGUUUGCUCUGACUUUUCGGACAUUUUUAACAUAUAAGCAUUUCCUUUCAUGACAGUCCAUUUGAGGGGAGGUAUGAUACUGCUUGUCUGCAUUUUGUAUGAUAGAGGUCUGCAGAGGUAUAAGGUUUCUAUGGUCAUACUUUUAUCACACAGUCUCGAAAUGGAGUACCUAGUGUCUUUGCAUACUCCCAUGUGAACAUGGUAGUGUCUUACUUAAUAUGAAGGAUUAAUGCCUGAUACACAGGCAUCCUGUGUUGCUUCUUACCAUUGGUAAUUUUAGAGGGGGUUAGAGGGCAUAUGUUCUUAUAGAAACAGGGAAUAGCUCAUGUUUUCCUUUUUAAGGGCUAAGCCCACCUCCAGAAGGGUAUCGGUCUUUUUGCAACUCCUGACCUAAUGCUUUAUGUAAUAAAAUUCUUGUCCCUUUUCUCGUUCAUGCUUUAUACACCCCACCCCCCCCACCCCCCCUAUGUAAAUCUGAUAUUGUUGGGUUGGAUUUUGUUCUGUAUAUGGUAAUUGAGUUUAAAAUGCUAUGAAAGAGAGACAAUAUCUUGGUAAAGUCGUAUGUUGAAAAAAACCUUUUUAUUUUCUUAAUAUAGAUAGAUUUAAGGAUAAAGGGGUUGGCAUUUUUCUUUGAGCUAUGUUGUGUAAACUUGCAUACUUUGAAGUUACCUCUUUAAAAUGCAUCUCAAAGUUACCUUCUAACUAUACAGACUACAAAAACGUAAAUUUCUAUCUGCUGAUGGUUAUCCUCUUUAGAAACUAAAGACCUCCUAAAGUUUGGCAGGGCACCAGGAACACACAAAUAUAUAUACUAUUUUUAGCUGAAUCUCCAUGCUGUAACUUUGCUGGAAAAUUAGCAUGUGACUAAGGGCUGUGUUUUCCUUCAACCAGCCUGAAAGUCCCCAAACUUUUAUAGAAGAAAGUAACUAUAUGAAAUAGCAACUUCAUGUGAAACUGUGCUUUUCUGCAAAUUUUCAGAUAAUGUGAACUGGCUUUUCUAAAUUUAGACUUUCAAGUGAAAUAGCUAAAUAGAAAUAGCUAAACCAUAAUGUGUUCUGGAAAACAGGAGAGCUAGAUAGAUGAUUUAAAAAAAAAAAAAGUGCAGAUUUGGCUGGCAUGAUUUACAAAUGGAAACUUGUUGCCUCUUUGCAAAUAUUUUUGAGUUGGAAUUCUAUCUAUAGUGAUCUUAAAUUCUCAGGAUGCUUUCAUUUCACAAUAGCAUCUAGGGUGUUUUUUGGUUUUUUGUUUUUUUCAAACUUUGUUAGUAGAUGAUAAACUUGCCAGUCUGAUUGGCAAUUCAGAAAUACUCCUCAAUUAAACUUUUUUUUUCUUCCUCUUUCAGUAUGCUAAUGUAACUUGGGGAAAAAAAAAAAAAAAUCUGGUUUAACAAGGUCUUCGAAGAUAAGAAACAACCCUGUUCCAAACCUGAUGGUAUUAAAUGUGUCACGUUUUUACAGUAUCUGCAAUUAUAAAUCACUGUCUCAAAACAUUGUGUUGCUUGUAUUUAGUACAGGCACUGUAAUUAACAGGUUCUCCAGCUUUAGUUGAUUCUUAAUCUCCUUCAAUUAAUAGUAAAACCAGAAAAUCACAGAUCCAAACUAGCUAUGAAUUAUUUUAAGAAAGUGUUUUUUUAGUGUCAGCAAAGGAUGUUAGUUUGUCAGAUCACUUUGUAUGGUGUGCUGAUUUCCAAACACAGCAACUUGUAGGUACAAUACUGUUUCGAAAUAAAAGUAAAAGCAGAAGUAUUAAUGUUUUACAUGUAUUUGUACAUGUAACUGCAGUUGAGGGUGACUUAUUUUACAUCCACCGGAGAAAAUGUGCGAUUUUAUGUCUCUGUGACAGGUGAAGGCCUAUCUGCUGGAGGAAUUGUAGCUUGACCAAACUGUUGCUAAUGUGUGAUAAGCACUGCAAAGUGUGUACUUGAGUGUUUCUUGGGGGAAAAAAAAAAAGCCUGGGUGAUGUAAAAAUUUGUCUCAAGUCUAGGAAGAUAUUUCCUAGAACAUGACAGUAGGUGAAAAAUUUAAGGAACUUCGUAUGGUUAAGCUGUGAGGACUUAUAUUACGACUGCAAUGUUGUAAAGGUACAGAACAUAUGCAUUAUGGUAAUACAGCCAGGUAAAUGAGGUUCUGUAUUCUUUUUCCUGCUUGUGUGGUUUCAUUGACAACACUUCUCUUGUUUUUUACCUUUAAAUGCUAGUGGGUUUACACUUUUAAGUCAGCUGCAUGUUUGGCAGCCAAAUGGAAGAUGAUAGGGGAGAAUAAAACUUUGUCACAUGUG